Molecule: long non-coding RNA, 531 nt
Filed under: Lupinus mutabilis
Lineage: Eukaryota; Viridiplantae; Streptophyta; Magnoliopsida; Fabales; Fabaceae
Description: partial ncRNA
Source: RNAcentral
AACAGUUGUUUCAGAGAGGAUUCAUUGGAAGUCGUCCUCAAAGGUUUGUUUCUUAACAUUACUGGAUGAACUAUUGAUACAAUAAUGCUGCCCUUUUUCGAAGCUUGAUUGUGUUUGAUUUUUUGUAGAGUGAAUAUAAGGUUUUUUCUUCAUUAGAAGUAUAGAUUUGAGGGGAGGGAACAACUUCUUUAAAUUGUGGUGAGGUGAAAGAGUUGGUCCUUAUUAGCCAACUCUCUCUUUGGCUUUGCAACAGCUUGGCUAUAUGUCUAAAUUCUAAAACAACCUUCAUGUAGAAAGAGUAUACAUUGACUUUAGUGCAUGAUGUAAGUUUGGGAGAAGUUUUACUCAAGUAGCAAAUCUCACAGUUUGAGGCAAUGAUCUUGAUCGUGUAUGGGAUUGACAAGGAUAAUGUUGGGAGAUCUUCAUCCAUAGGCUAAGUGAAAGAAACCUAUAAGUGGACUUGACACCACAUCUUAACCUCAAACGUUAAGGUAUUAGGUUUAUGGGUCUAUUCGUUUUUAUGUUUUUCAA